GGAGGGAUCGCAUAGUCCGGUCUAGUGCGCGGCAUUGGAAAUGCCGUAGGCGGUGUGAGCUGCCUCGAGGGUUCAAAUCCCUCUCCCUCCGCCA
Molecule: transfer RNA, 94 nt
Filed under: Acidimicrobiia bacterium
Lineage: Bacteria; Bacillati; Actinomycetota; Acidimicrobiia
Description: tRNA-Ser
Rfam family: tRNA
About the family: Transfer RNA (tRNA) molecules are approximately 80 nucleotides in length. Their secondary structure includes four short double-helical elements and three loops (D, anti-codon, and T loops). Further hydrogen bonds mediate the characteristic L-shaped molecular structure. tRNAs have two regions of fundamental functional importance: the anti-codon, which is responsible for specific mRNA codon recognition, and the 3' end, to which the tRNAs corresponding amino acid is attached (by aminoacyl-tRNA synthetases). tRNAs cope with the degeneracy of the genetic code in two manners: having more than one tRNA (with a specific anti-codon) for a particular amino acid; and 'wobble' base-pairing, i.e. permitting non-standard base-pairing at the 3rd anti-codon position.
Source: RNAcentral